AUAUCAUUUUUCUUGGGCGUCUGACAAUUGGUUUUCCUGGGGCUAAGAGUGGGGGACUAGACAACUGAUUACAAGCUCUGUGCACCUAGGCGGUCAUCGUCAGCUUGCAGCUUAUUCUAGGAUGGGCCAUUCUCAGGGUCUCUAGGUUUUUCCUCUUUCACUGAUUAGAAUCCCAGGGGAGACUCCCAAUUUCCUGCCUAGAUAUUAAAGAUCUGGCUGCCAAUGUUCUGGGAAGCAAGUGAGGAACAAGGAAGUGAGUUUCUGCAUUGGUAUUUAUAUGUACAGGUUCAUUUAAUCUCCACAUAGGCCAAAGACCCUCUGUUCUACUCUUUCCAGACUUCUACUCUGGGUAGCCUUCCUGAGCCUUGGAGUUUAAGUGCCCAGUGGGUUCCUCUUGCCUGCUGUCCAGACAGAGUUGAUUUAUUAAGGCAAGGAAGUUGAAACAGAGAAAGAGUUUUGCACAUGUAGAGCUGGCUGAAUGGGAGGUCAA
This 490-nucleotide long non-coding RNA is filed under the name Pan troglodytes (chimpanzee). Its description in RNAcentral is "long non-coding RNA NONPTRT014947". Lineage: Eukaryota; Metazoa; Chordata; Mammalia; Primates; Hominidae. The record is from RNAcentral.